This 902-nucleotide ribosomal RNA is filed under the name uncultured organism. RNAcentral's name for it is "bacterial SSU rRNA". It matches the Rfam family "Bacterial small subunit ribosomal RNA", at positions 1 to 917 of the family's 1533-position model. The record is from RNAcentral.
UGAUCCAGACUUUGAUUCUGGCUCAGGACGAACGCUGGCGGCGCGCCUAACACAUGCAAGUCGAACGAGAGAUGAGGAGCUUGCUCUUCAAAUCGAGUGGCGAACGGGUGAGUAACGCGUGAGGAACCUGCCUCAAGGAGGGGGACAACAGUUGGAAACGACUGCUAAUACCGCAUAAGCCCACGGCUCGGCAUCGAGCAGAGGGAAAAGGAGUGAUCCGCUUUGAGAUGGCCUCGCGUCCGAUUAGCUAGUUGGUGAGGUAACGGCCCACCGAGGCAACGAUCGGUAGCCGGACUGAGAGGUUGAACGGCCACAUUGGGACUGAGACACGGCCCAGACUCCUACGGGAGGCAGCAGUGGGGAAUAUUGCACAAUGGGGGAAACCCUGAUGCAGCGACGCCGCGUGGAGGAAGAAGGUCUUCGGAUUGUAAACUCCUGUUGUUGAGGAAGAUAAUGACGGUACUCAACAAGGAAGUGACGGCUAACUACGUGCCAGCAGCCGCGGUAAAACGUAGGUCACAAGCGUUGUCCGGAAUUACUGGGUGUAAAGGGAGCGCAGGCGGGAGAACAAGUUGGAAGUGAAAUCCAUGGGCUCAACCCAUGAACUGCUUUCAAAACUGUUUUUCUUGAGUAGUGCAGAGGUAGGCGGAAUUCCCGGUGUAGCGGUGGAAUGCGUAGAUAUCGGGAGGAACACCAGUGGCGAAGGCGGCCUACUGGGCACCAACUGACGCUGAGGCUCGAAAGUGUGGGUAGCAAACAGGAUUAGAUACCCUGGUAGUCCACACCGUAAACGAUGAUUACUAGGUGUUGGAGGAUUGACCCCUUCAGUGCCGCAGUUAACACAAUAAGUAAUCCACCUGGGGAGUACGACCGCAAGGUUGCAACUCAAAUGAAUUGACGGA